Non-coding RNA from Pelobates cultripes (western spadefoot toad), 1499 nucleotides. Lineage: Eukaryota; Metazoa; Chordata; Amphibia; Anura; Pelobatidae. The record is from the annotation of a GenBank genome assembly.
CAGAACACAAAAACCUUUAUUUCACAGUGGCCUUAUAAAGCAUGCUCCCAUGCAAGGGAGGGAUUUCCAUCAAUUACUACAGUAUCCAAUCCUGUUCCGGUAUUCUCCCACACAUCCCCUCCCCUCAGCCUGCAUCAUAAUCCCCUUAUCCAGGACACCAAUUCCCCGUUUCUGGAUGUACCCCUAAACCUAGGGGUACCACUUUAAAUUAUACAUCUCCUGGUAGCGCUGAUCUGGGUGAACAACAUAUCCAAAAAUCACCCAGAUCAGACCAGGGGUUCGGGAAAUUCAUGGAGGGAAUAAAAUGACCGACCGCGCUGGAAGGUAUAGCCCGAAUUGGGCUCCAUGCGAUGGCAAUGGUAUUGGAAGGUUAUGUAGAGUUACUUUAAGAAUAAAAUCUAAAAAAUAGCAACAGCAAAAACUGAAAUUAAAGAUUCCCACUGGAGCUAGAGACAGUGUUGCGCCACUGUGCCACGUUAACUAUAUGCUAAAUAGGUGGAAAUCAAAGGGGAGCCAUACCCUCUACCCAGAGAGUCGUUAUGCGCUAUGCAUGCCACAUAGAGGGCCACUUUGAGACGUAUGUGUCACUGGUGCUCAUGUCUCUGUAAGUAUACUAUAAGUUAGCCAUGUUCAGUUAUAUGCUUAUUUCCCCUUCUACUUGCUGUGUUUGAGGGUUUUCAUCGAGUGUCCGAUUUGAGUUCCAGACACUCGACGGCAAAACACCGCUGUUCGGGAGUUUUCAAAUGGCCGCCGCCACGUGUUCGUUUCCCGAAUGGCGGCCACCCCAGAGAACAAAGGAAUGCUACUCAGCUUGUCAAUUACCUGUUCGCAACAAUGUUGCAACGGGUAAUUGAAGGCACACUUCACACAGGGAAGGUCUGACUGUUCGGUAAGUUCAUUCGAACAAACUAAGGGAAUGAAACUACCGAACAAUCAGACGAACACAAUACAUUUAACACAUAUAACUUUGCCAUUUACACAAAUGCAGUCAAGGUUAAUACAAUUCCCAGGACAGCCUAGUGUCAUCCGCUACAAAUUGAACACUACGUAAGUAGUCAUGUAGCCGGUUUAAAAUAUGCCAGCUGUAAUAAUAUAGCUAGACUAGACCAUGCGGGCUCCUUCUCUGGAUGGCACACCUCUGAGGUCAUACCAGCCUAUUUAACUGACAUCCUCCCUGCUGCUGUGAUGGGCAUGAUAGGGCAACCAUUAUUUCCUACUUUGUUAGCCUCCCAUGCGCAUUCACCGACCAUAGAGCCCAGCAGCUACCCGGCUGAAGAAUUAACUACAGUUUAGAGUUAUUUUAUCUUGAUUUAUUAUACUCGACUAAGUUAAUGCCUAUCCAUAUAGUAGGUCUCAAACAAUCUUACUGUUUUCUUGUUAAGAGACAUUAUAUGCCUCAAUAUGUUUAUCUUCUAAACAAUGUGCAGUAUUAUCACAUGCCACAGUCUUAGGCUUCUUGAAAUAUCUGUAUUUACUGUCGUGGCAUGGCAAACCUGUCU